UUUUAAAAUAAGUAUCAUUUGUUAGUAACACUAAUAGGUGUUAUGUUUUUUUAUUUAAAAAAAAAAGAAAAAACAUUUACGACUUAAAAACUGACUAAUCCCCAAUUUACCAAUCUACGCCUCAAAUCAUUCUGUCUCUCUAUCAACACUCUUCUCCUCCCAUCGUUUUAAUCUCAUCUCUUUCCUCAAUUGAUGUGCACACUCUAAAUCCUCCAUUGAAGCGAAUUCUUAACUUUCUUUCCUCCUUUGAAGCAGCUUCUAAGAUCAAUUUUUAAACAUCAUCUGCUAUCAUUGCGUUGUUCUGCUAUUUUUGUGCACUUUUGUCAUUGUGCGUCCAAGUUCAGGUAUUUUCUGAUUUGUGAUUUCAAGAAUCUAAUAAUUAUUACAAUCUAGAUUAUCGCUAUUUUUUAAUUGGAUUUUGAACGGUUAUUGGCUUUGUGUUUAAAGUAGUGUUAAUUCUUUUUAAAUUUUAUUUUGUGAGUUCUUGAUCGGUAAUUGGAGUUUGGAUUGUUGAUUCUGAAUUUGUGUGUUUUGGUUUUGUAUUUAAUGUUUUCUCAAAAUUAGAUAUUGUAAGUAGGAAAAGGUCUCUAAUUGAAGUGCAGAGUGUGUAGGACUUGGGAAAUUAUAUCAACAUUUGUUUUAAAGGACUAUGAAAAGUUAAAAAAAAAAAAAAGGCUUUGAUGUAUGAGAAAGUGUUAAUAUGCAGGCAGCAGGUUAAUUACAUUAGGAGGCGGAUUCAAUAACAACACGCUUUAUUAGAUCUAACUUAGAUUGAAAAUUGGACAAAGUCUAUUUAAUAGUUUUCAAAUCUUUUGAAUACAUAAUACACAUUUAUCAUACUCCCUCCGUCCUCGAAAGAACGACCCUUUUGGGUUGAUUUUGCGAGUAUUAAGAAAGUUAAAUAAAAAGAAGUAAAAAUAUAUUAGAAACAUAAAUUUAUACGGGGUUUGUAAAAAAAAAUAUAAAGAGAGAGUUAUAUAAUUAUAUGGAAAAACAAAAUUUUAUAUGGAGAAGCUAGUUUUGCACAAAUAUUGAUGCAAAUUGGUAGGUAUUUUUAAUGAAAAUGGGUCGAUCAUUUUGGGAAUAAAUUUAGGCCAAAAGGGUCGAACUUUUGGGGACGGAGGUAGUAACAAAUAGUAUUAUGUCAUAAGUAAAACAAACUCACACUUAUUUUUAUAUCAAAAUUGCAAUCAAUCUUAAGAUGUUGAUUGUUUUAAGUGGAAGAUUUAGUCCUUGAAAUGUAUCUAAAACUAUAUUUUGCAAAACGAAGAAUGAGAAGUUAGGUUAGGAGUUGUUAGUUGAUUAAAUAGGUAACAAAAUGCAUGUAAUAAUUCAGGGUUCUUUCACCAUCUUUUAGUUUAAACUUUUACGAUGCAACAUUGAUAUAUACAUAUUUAACUUUUAUUUUGUGAGUGCCAAUUUUGGAGCCAUUGUUACCCUUGAGAUAAUAGUUAACUUCCUUCUUUGACCUCAUAGUUUUUUAUCUUCACUAACUAAAACCAACUUGCCACUGCAAAAUGCUUCUCUACAUAGCAAUAUGAAUCCAAAUAAUGAUCUAAAAUGUGUUUUUUUUUCCAAUCAUGUGGCCUAAUUUUGACUUGUUCACAAUACUAAUAAAGCUUAUGAGUGAAAAUUAAUGGGAUAGAAGGUUGAUCAUGUGGUAAUUGCUUUUAACUUCCAGUAAUAUAGUGAAGUUAUGAUCAAUGUUCAGUAGAGAUACUUGUAAGAAUUAUUGGUAGUUUUGCUUUCCCUAUUUCUUUUUUAUUGGUGCAUAGAUUUAAUUCUUAGUUUCUUGAAAGAGCUGCUGUUACUGAAGUUUGAUCACGAGGAUGCUUUAUUUUAAUUAGGUCUAUUUUUCAUUUGUCUAAUAUAUUAGAAGUUGGCUAUUUAGCGUUUUUUUUCUUCAGAAUGUCUACAAUUUACUUGAUGCUAUGUAAGAGGGCAAAUCGUUUAUGCGUUUGAACAGUGAAUCCCUUUUUUUGAUGAUUUAAAAAGAACUAAAAAAUACCGCCACAAAAGGUACUUCUGUUUUCUUUCUUUACUUGUUCAUUCCUCGUGCAUUGGUACCUCUCUUAUGUUUGACUAGCAAGCUAAACAUUACUGGUUCAUGAUUGAUAAGUGGUUUAUUUGUCCACUUAUUGUGGUAAUCCUAACCGCUUUUAUAAUCAUUUCUCCUACUUUUCUCCUCUCUCUUAACUCUCUUGUAUAUAGUUGUAUUUUGGCAUUGCUGCUUUUUUUGUGUGUGUUUGUGUUCAUGCUUGUAGGAAUAAGAAGAUUUGACAAGCUUGCAAAGAAAGUUGAGGAAGAUGAUAAAAAGGAGAGGAUGUUGUGAACCUCCCUAGGAGCAGCCACUCCUGCCCCAUGCACCACAAACUGCAUCAUCCACAACAAUAAGAGCGGGCUGCUGCUACUGCUGUUGUUACUGAUGUUUUGCUGCUGCUGUUUACUGCCACUGAUGUCUGUUGCUGACUCCUGCUACUGUUGUUUGCUGCCACUGCUGGUUGCUGCCACCGCUGUCUGCUACUGCUGUUUGUUGCCACUGCUAGUUGCUGCCACCGGUGUCUGCUACUGCUGUUUGGUGCUAUAUACUGCUGCUCGUAGCUUAUGUUGCUACUGCUGUUGUUCUGCUAGCUAUCUGCUGUUCACCGCUAUCACCGACUAAUUUUUGAAAAUUUGAAGUUUUCUUAUUUCCUCACUCUUUCUAUGCUAGAGAUCGAAGUUGAUUUUCUUUUUUUUUGGAUUAUUAUAUUGUUGGGCCAAACAUUAAAAUAUGUGUAUGGAUUUUUUUUUUUUUGUAAGAACUAUGAAAUUAUUUCAAUCCAAAUUGAUGUCUAUCAUAUA
Long non-coding RNA from Chenopodium quinoa (quinoa), 2841 nucleotides. RefSeq lists it as uncharacterized. The transcript is spliced from 2 exons. The record is from RefSeq and is a predicted model, not a curated record. NCBI's taxonomy places the organism in Eukaryota, Viridiplantae, Streptophyta, Magnoliopsida, Caryophyllales, Amaranthaceae.